AGUGAACGCUGGCGGUAGGCCUAACACAUGCAAGUCGAACGGCAGCACAGUAAGAGCUUGCUCUUACGGGUGGCGAGUGGCGGACGGGUGAGGAAUACAUCGGAAUCUACUUUUUCGUGGGGGAUAACGUAGGGAAACUUACGCUAAUACCGCAUACGACCUACGGGUGAAAGCAGGGGAUCUUCGGACCUUGCGCGAUUGAAUGGGCCGAUGUCGGAUUAGCUAGUUGGCGGGGUAAAGGCCCACCAAGGCGACGAUCCGUAGCUGGUCUGAGAGGAUGAUCAGCCACACUGGAACUGAGACACGGUCCAGACUCCUACGGGAGGCAGCAGUGGGGAAUAUUGGACAAUGGGCGCAAGCCUGAUCCAGCCAUACCGCGUGGGUGAAGAAGGCCUUCGGGUUGUAAAGCCCUUUUGUUGGGAAAGAAAAGCAGCAGGUUAAUACCCCGCUGUUCUGACGGUACCCAAGGAAUAAGCACCGGCUAACUUCGUG
RNAcentral lists this ribosomal RNA (492 nucleotides) under uncultured bacterium. RNAcentral's name for it is "partial 16S ribosomal RNA". It matches the Rfam family "Bacterial small subunit ribosomal RNA", at positions 29 to 507 of the family's 1533-position model. The record is from RNAcentral.